UGUAUAUGUUAUAAAGUCUAGCCUGCCCACUGAUUGAUUUAAAGGGCCGCGGUAAUUUGACCGUGCGAAGGUAGCAUAGUCAGUAGUCUUUUAAUUGAAGGCUUGAAUGAAAGGUUGGACGAGGGAUGAGCUGUCUCCUUUAUGUAAUUUGAAUUUAACUUUUGAGUGAAAAGGCUCAAAUUAUUUAGUGGGACGAUAAGACCCUAUAAAACUUUAUAUAAGUUUAAUUUGGCUUACAAUUUGAGUGAAAAGUAGCUUUAUUAGGCUUAUAUUUCGUUGGGGAGAUGUAGAUAUAGUGUGUAACUGUCUAUUUAAUUUAAUAAUUAUAAUUAUUGUGUGAUCCUUCUUUGGGGAUUAAAAGUAUAAGUUACCUUAGGGAUAACAGCGUGAUUUUCUUUGAGAGUUCUUAUCCACAAGAGUA
RNAcentral lists this ribosomal RNA (421 nucleotides) under Macrobrachium nipponense. RNAcentral's name for it is "partial 16S ribosomal RNA". It matches the Rfam family "Bacterial large subunit ribosomal RNA", at positions 1836 to 2516 of the family's 2925-position model. The record is from RNAcentral. Lineage: Eukaryota; Metazoa; Arthropoda; Malacostraca; Decapoda; Palaemonidae.